GGUCUUGAACUCCUGACCUCAAAUGAUCCAACCGCCUUGGCCUCCCAAAGUGCUGGGAUUAUAGGCAUGAGCCACUGUGCCCAGCCCCAAAGUAGUGUUUCUAUGCAGGAAAUCCCUUCUGGAAUUUAUCAGGAAAUCUGUAUGUUCUUCUGAAUCCCAAAAUCGAUCAGUCAAGAAAUUGGGAAAAUGGGGAAAAGCAUUAUAAUUCUCCUGUGAGAAUUAAUGCUUAACAAUCAACAUAGAGGCAUUCCUGGCUUAAAGAAAUCCACUGAUGCCAAAUUGAAAGCAAGAGAAGGCAACGUUGACACACAGAGUCUAAAGUUAAGUAGUCAAAAUACUUUUUGUAGCUGUUGACACACUAAAAGUAUAUUUGUGGCUGUACCUGUUGUUAAGAGCGAGUCAUUCCCACAAAUAUUAAUGUUGACGUGCACUGUGUUUUAUACAAAUCCUACAAAUGAUGUUCUAAUAAAUAACAAGUUUUGGAAACACAUAAGUCCUUAAAUUGGCAAUUCUCUCCCUCU
Molecule: long non-coding RNA, 521 nt
Filed under: Homo sapiens (human)
Lineage: Eukaryota; Metazoa; Chordata; Mammalia; Primates; Hominidae
Description: HSALNT0229798
Source: RNAcentral